This is a long non-coding RNA of Heterocephalus glaber (naked mole-rat), 1152 nucleotides long. RefSeq lists it as uncharacterized. NCBI's taxonomy places the organism in Eukaryota, Metazoa, Chordata, Mammalia, Rodentia, Bathyergidae. The record is from RefSeq and is a predicted model, not a curated record.
GGGCGGGCUGUUUAAGAAGUACUCUGUGUGUGUACUUUGAGUGUGUAUUUUGUACUUUGUGUGUGUGCAUGUGUGUGUUAAGAGGGGAGCCUGGCUGUGCUAUGGGCGAGUCUGUUUGUGUGUAGUGGGAGGAGAGACUGGGCCAGGUGGAGGAAGGUGGUGGAAGGGUCCUGCACUCAUAGCCCUGUCCCUUGGCUUGGGACACUGCCACUUGCCCUCUUUGUCAGAUGUAGACACUGAAGCCCAGCCUCACCUGCAUAUUCAGGGUGGCUGAGCUUGGCCUUGAACCUGGGGCUGGCCGCCCUUUAUCCCUGAUUCCUGGGCCCUGAUCCCUCUCCCCCCUCCUGCCCCUCCCUGCUGCCCCCCCAGUCCUGGCCGGCAUUCCUGAGAGCUGAGGAUGUCCAUGGAGGGGUGUCGGCAUCCUCUGGUGCCUGGCACGCCAGAGGUGUUAUAUAAGCGUUUGCUCUUGUUAUUAUUUUUUGCUGGGAGGCUGCUGGCAUUUGGCACCCGGGUCUUCAGCGCAGUGUGAGUGUGUCAGGUGCUUGCCAGAGAUCUGCCCUGCCUCAUUUCAUGACAACCUCCAGAAAGGCUUGUACCAGAUCCUUGGAAGCAAUGGAAACUUCUCUGCUAACCUCAAAGUCCUGCCCUCCUGGCCCCUGUGACCCACUAAGGGGUCCCUAGAUUUGGAACUGGGGAUUGAACUCGGGACCUUCCGCUUGCAAGGCAGGCAGCAGAACCACUGAGCUAAAUCCCUGGCUCAGGGUCCCUGGAUUUGGAAACAGAGUGUCAGAUGCUGCUGCAGCUCACAGCGCAUGUUGGCUGCCUUGCUGGAACCAGAUGCCCCACACCACCCUGAAUAACCCCUCUGGCCCAUGGCACCACCACCAGCUACCACCUGCUCCACCAAGACCUCGGCGUGCCAGGCCUGGAGGUACCUUUGCCAGGCUGCCUGGGGCCAUCCGGGCCGAGGUCUCUGUGAGUGUGACGAGCACAGGGAGUCACGCACACAGGGGUCAGCUCUGUGGACGCCUGUGCUCUAGUCACGGGACACAUCCUGCCAGCUGACCUCAGGGGCUCACUCUCCUGACUUCUAACAGCAAGCAUCGGUACUGCCUGCUUCUGUGCUGCCAAUAAAAGGACUCACACAGCAGA